Molecule: ribosomal RNA, 406 nt
Filed under: uncultured Mycobacterium sp.
Lineage: Bacteria; Bacillati; Actinomycetota; Actinomycetes; Mycobacteriales; Mycobacteriaceae
Description: bacterial SSU rRNA
Rfam family: Bacterial small subunit ribosomal RNA
Source: RNAcentral
GGGGAAUAUUGCACAAUGGGCGCAAGCCUGAUGCAGCGACGCCGCGUGAGGGAUGACGGCCUUCGGGUUGUAAACCUCUUUCAGUAGGGACGAAGCGAAAGUGACGGUACCUACAGAAGAAGGACCGGCCAACUACGUGCCAGCAGCCGCGGUAAUACGUAGGGUCCGAGCGUUGUCCGGAAUUACUGGGCGUAAAGAGCUCGUAGGUGGUUUGUCGCGUUGUUCGUGAAAACUCACAGCUUAACUGUGGGCGUGCGGGCGAUACGGGCAGACUAGAGUACUGCAGGGGAGACUGGAAUUCCUGGUGUAGCGGUGGAAUGCGCAGAUAUCAGGAGGAACACCGGUGGCGAAGGCGGGUCUCUGGGCAGUAACUGACGCUGAGGAGCGAAAGCGUGGGUAGCGAACA